This 279-nucleotide ribosomal RNA is filed under the name uncultured bacterium. RNAcentral describes it as "partial 16S ribosomal RNA". It matches the Rfam family "Bacterial small subunit ribosomal RNA", at positions 506 to 784 of the family's 1533-position model. The record is from RNAcentral.
UGCCAGCAGCCGCGGUAAUACGAAGGGGGCUAGCGUUGCUCGGAAUUACUGGGCGUAAAGGAUGCGUAGGUGGAAUUUUAAGUGAGAUGUGAAAUACCCGGGCUCAACUUGGGUGCUGCAUCUCAAACUGGGAUUCUAGAGUGCAGGAGAGGAAAGCGGAAUUCCUAGUGUAGCGGUGAAAUGCGUAGAGAUUAGGAAGAACACCAGUGGCGAAGGCGGCUUUCUGGACUGUAACUGACACUGAGGCAUGAAAGCGUGGGGAGCAAACAGGAUUAGAUA